This 782-nucleotide ribosomal RNA is filed under the name Seirophora villosa. RNAcentral's name for it is "eukaryotic LSU rRNA". It matches the Rfam family "Eukaryotic large subunit ribosomal RNA", at positions 165 to 940 of the family's 3401-position model. Lineage: Eukaryota; Fungi; Ascomycota; Lecanoromycetes; Teloschistales; Teloschistaceae. The record is from RNAcentral. RNAcentral also lists the same sequence under 1 other name.
CGGGCGCGGCGAACGGUCUAAGUCCCUUGGAACGGGGCGUCAUAGAGGGUGAGAAUCCCGUAUGAGAUCGGCGACCAAGCCCAUGUGAAACUCCUUCGACGAGUCGAGUUGUUUGGGAAUGCAGCUCAAAAUGGGUGGUAAAUUUCAUCUAAAGCUAAAUACCGGCCAGAGACCGAUAGCGCACAAGUAGAGUGAUCGAAAGAUGAAAAGCACUUUGGAAAGAGAGUCAAAAAGUACGUGAAAUUGUUGAAAGGGAAGCGCUUGCAACCAGACCUGCCCGUGGGUGAUCCCCCGUUUUUACGAAAGCGGUGCACUCGCUCACGAUCAGGCCAGCAUCGGUUCGGGCGGCCGGAUAAAGGCCGCGGGAAUGUAGCUCCUCUCGGGGAGUGUUAUAGCCCGUGGUGCAAUGCGGCCCGCCUGGACCGAGGAUCGCGCUUCGGCUAGGAUGCUGGCGUAAUGGUUGUAAGCGGCCCGUCUUGAAACACGGACCAAGGAGUCUAACAUCUAUGCGAGUGUUUGGGUGUCAAACCCAUACGCGUAAUGAAAGUGAACGGAGGUGGGAACCCUUUAGGGCGCACCAUCGACCGAUCCAGAUGUCUUCGGAUGGAUUUGAGUACGAGCAUAGCUGUUGGGACCCGAAAGAUGGUGAACUAUGCCAGAAUAGGGUGAAGCCAGAGGAAACUCUGGUGGAGGCUCGCAGCGGUUCUGACGUGCAAAUCGAUCGUCAAAUUUUGGCAUAGGGGCGAAAGUGAGUUUUGAUCGGUGGUGAUUGCAGAUGGAAG